UUAGCUCAUAUUUGUAUGGAAUGGGAUCGUUUGCGUACGUUUGUCGCUAGGGGCGCUGUUCCAACGGCAUACAAAAUUGGGUUA
RNAcentral lists this microRNA precursor (84 nucleotides) under Bombyx mori (domestic silkworm). RNAcentral describes it as "mir-2807 microRNA precursor family". It matches the Rfam family "mir-2807 microRNA precursor family". The record is from Rfam by way of RNAcentral. Lineage: Eukaryota; Metazoa; Arthropoda; Insecta; Lepidoptera; Bombycidae.